RNAcentral lists this ribosomal RNA (92 nucleotides) under Caerostris darwini. Lineage: Eukaryota; Metazoa; Arthropoda; Arachnida; Araneae; Araneidae. The record is from RNAcentral.
UUAAUUACCGGUUCUCGUUAGAUCACCGAAGUCAAGCAUCAUUGGGCCGGUAUUAUUUAUUUGGGUGACCACCUGGGAACACCGCGUGCAGU